Molecule: ribosomal RNA, 468 nt
Filed under: uncultured bacterium
Lineage: Bacteria
Description: partial 16S ribosomal RNA
Rfam family: Bacterial small subunit ribosomal RNA
Source: RNAcentral
GACGAACGCUGGCGGCGUGCUUAACACAUGCAAGUCGAACGGCAAGGCCCUGCUUUUGUGGGGUGCUCGAGUGGCGAACGGGUGAGUAACACGUGAGUAACCUGCCCUUGACUUUGGGAUAACUUCAGGAAACUGGGGCUAAUACCGGAUAGGAGCUCCUGCUGCAUGGUGGGGGUUGGAAAGUUUCGGCGGUUGGGGAUGGACUCGCGGCUUAUCAGCUUGUUGGUGGGGUAGUGGCUUACCAAGGCUUUGACGGGUAGCCGGCCUGAGAGGGUGACCGGCCACAUUGGGACUGAGAGAGGGACCAGACUCCUAUGGGAGGCAGCAGUGGGGAAUAUUGCACAAUGGGCGGAAGCCUGAUGCAGCAACGCCGCGGGCGGGAUGACGGCCUUCGGGUUGUAAAACGCUUUCGCCUGUGACGAAGCGUGAGUGACGGUAAUGGGUAAAGAAGCACCGGCUAACUACGUG